Long non-coding RNA from Pipistrellus kuhlii (Kuhl's pipistrelle), 945 nucleotides. RefSeq lists it as uncharacterized. The transcript has 2 exons. The record is from RefSeq and is a predicted model, not a curated record. Lineage: Eukaryota; Metazoa; Chordata; Mammalia; Chiroptera; Vespertilionidae.
UAAGUUACAGUUCGUUUGCUUUCCAGAAGAGAGUCUGGCAGACGUAUAGAGAGGUGUCUUAUAAGUAUUUUUCCCAUGCCUAUAAAAUGUGUCUAGAGAAAAAGUUAUACAGAGUUCAAGAGAGGCUGGUUUGAAAAGGUGGAAGGAAGGAAACGUUCUACUAACUAGAGACCCCUUGGUGCAAAUUAUCUCUGAGGCAUGACAACAGCAGGGAGGAGGGGUGUGUAAUAAUUUGGCCUUGAAAGUAGCUUAUCUGGUUGAGCAGUUUGAACAAAGGAGCUGUUUGAAUUAGAGGAGCCAACGAUCUUGGGAUUUAAUUAGCAGGCCCUUCUCUUAAAUUCUCGAAGGCAGACCUUUUUCUUUUCCUUCCAAAUGCCUCCACCUCAUUUAGAACCUAAGGCUUUAUUGACCUGAUGAGUGACAACUUCUAGGAGAUGAAAUAAAGGGACACCAGCAAUAGUGGGAACAUUGUGUUCAGGAGGAUGUCAGCAAUGGGUCACAGAGAGAAUAAACCACUCAUUGAAUUUUCUCCUCAAUCCAUAGGAGAAAAUAAUUUUUCUCUGUUCUAACCACAGUACGGACAAAAGUGAUGGCAGAAACUAAACUUAGCAAGCUCAGGGAGCCCAGAAUGGCAUGGUUAACCUUACAAACACAGACGCCAAAAGUAACCCUAUAGGAUGGUUUGAAGUUAAAACUUUCUAAGUCAAUGUUUGGACAUUUCUUACAACAUCACCAAAAGCAAUUGCCUUGUGUGAAAUGGAAGAACCUUACAUGGAGGGGUAUCAGCAUUUUUAGCUACUCAACUGAUUGAAGACAGAUUUAUAAACAUAAACGUAGAGCAGACCCAGAACCCAGCAAGCUAGAGCUUUCCAGUUGCUUUCAGAGAACAGAAGGAAAUGCUCAAGCCUUAGGUGACUUUGUUUUUACUCUGUACGUGCAUGUGUG